ACAAGAAAAAUAGUGGAUGCCACAUAUUAGGACUCGUCUGAGACAUGAUGCAAGACUUUUUAGAAAGAAUUUGAGAUAAGAGAGUUUAAGACAUGUUUUUGCUCCUGGAGUCUGAAGAAGAUGGAGUUAGCAUUUUCACCACUUCUUUUGUCCGUCAAUUUCAAUGAUCUUCAGUUUGCAGCAGAUGCUGAAGUCAGCACAGAGUGAUAAAGCUAAAAUGAGACUCCCAGGGUAUGGCCCUCGUGCAAUAUGGCUGAUGUCCUUAUUAGAAGAGGAAGAGACACCAGGAAUGCAUGUGCACA
This is a long non-coding RNA of Homo sapiens (human), 302 nucleotides long. RefSeq lists it as uncharacterized. The record is from RefSeq and is a predicted model, not a curated record. The transcript has 3 exons. Lineage: Eukaryota; Metazoa; Chordata; Mammalia; Primates; Hominidae.